AGAGUUUGAUCAUGGCUCAGAAUCAACGCUGGCGGCGUGCCUAACACAUGCAAGUCGAACGCGAAAGGGGCUUCGGCCCUGAGUAGAGUGGCGAACGGGUGAGUAACACGUGGGUGACCUACCUUCGAAUGGGGGAUAACGUCCCGAAAGGGACGCUAAUACCGCAUAACAUCCUGCCUUUGAACAGGUGGAGAUCAAAGCCGGGGAUCGCAAGACCUGGCGUUUGAAGAGGGGCCCGCGCCUGAUUAGCUAGUUGGUGAGGUAAUAGCUCACCAAGGCGACGAUCAGUAUCCGGCCUGAGAGGGCGGACGGACACACUGGGACUGAGACACGGCCCAGACUCCUACGGGAGGCAGCAGUGGGGAAUUGUUCGCAAUGGGCGCAAGCCUGACGACGCAACGCCGCGUGGAGGAUGAAGGUCUUCGGAUUGUAAACUCCUGUUGCCCGGGACGAAAAGCUUCGACCUAACACGUCGAGGUCUGACGGUACCGGGUGAGGAAGCCCCGGCUAACUCUGUGCCAGCAGCCGCGGUAAUACAGAGGGGGCAAGCGUUGUUCGGAAUUACUGGGCGUAAAGGGCGCGUAGGCGGCCUUCUAAGUCAGACGUGAAAUCCCCGGGCUCAACCCGGGAACUGCGUCUGAUACUGGAAGGCUUGAAUCCGGGAGAGGGGAUGUGGAAUUCCAGGUGUAGCGGUGAAAUGCGUAGAUAUCUGGAGGAACACC
RNAcentral lists this ribosomal RNA (722 nucleotides) under uncultured Acidobacteriota bacterium. RNAcentral's name for it is "bacterial SSU rRNA". It matches the Rfam family "Bacterial small subunit ribosomal RNA", at positions 8 to 710 of the family's 1533-position model. The record is from RNAcentral. Lineage: Bacteria; Pseudomonadati; Acidobacteriota.